This is a long non-coding RNA of Mustela lutreola (European mink), 10957 nucleotides long. RefSeq lists it as uncharacterized. The record is from RefSeq and is a predicted model, not a curated record. The transcript is spliced from 3 exons. NCBI's taxonomy places the organism in Eukaryota, Metazoa, Chordata, Mammalia, Carnivora, Mustelidae.
CACCUUUUAAAACUGAUCUUCGUGGACUACCUUAGCAUACUUCUAGACUGUCCUCCAGUAGUCCACUCUGUGUGGCAUUAAAUAUUUAUUUCUGAAAUUUGCCUCCCUAAGCUGGUCUUCCUUAGACAAUUGUAUUUCUUCUUUUUAAAAUUCCAGUGUCAUGAACGUACAGUGUUAUAUUAGCUUCAGGUGUACAAUAGAGUGAUUCUGUGAUCUGUUUACUAAAAUUCCAUAUAUUACUUAGUGCUGCCCAAGAUAAGUGUACUCUUAACCCCCUUCGUCUAUUUCACCAGACCCCCUCCCUGCUCCCCUUUGUUUGUUCUCCAUAGUUGAGAGUCAGGUUUUUGGUUUGUCUCUUUUUCUUUUCCCUUUGUUCAUUUGUUUUAUUUCUUAAAUUCCACCUGUGAGUGCGAUGAUACGGAAUUUGUCUUUCUCUGACUGGCAUAUUUCACAUAGCAUUGUACUCUCUAGAUCCAUCAAUGUCAUUGCAAAAGACAGCAUUUUACUCUUUUUUUUUUCUUUCUUUCUUUUUUUUUUUUUUUUUUAAAGAUCCUGGUUUAUUUAUUUGACAGAGAUCACAAGCACGCCAUGCAGAGACGGGGUGGGGGAGGCAGGCUCCCUGCUGAGCAGAGAGCCCGAUAUGGGGCUCCAUCCCAUCCCAGGACCCUGGGAUCAUGACCUGAGAUGAAAGCAGAGGCUUUAACCCACUGAGCCACCUGGGCGCCCCCAUUUUACUCUUUUUUAUGACUGAGUAAUGUUCUGUUGUAUAUAUAUGCCACAUCUUCUGCAUCCAUUCAUCAGUCGUUUCACACUUGGGCCGCUCACAUAGUUUGGCUGUUGUAAACAGUGCUGCAAUAAAUAUAGGGGUGCAUAUAUCCUUUUGAAUUAGUGUUUCUUUGGAUAAAUAUCCAAUAGUGCAAUUACUGGAUCAUAGGGUAGUUCUAUUUUUAAUUUUUUGAUACUGUCUUCUGGAGUGGCUGUACCAGUUUGCUUUCCCACUAAUAGCACAUCAGGGUUUUUUCCUCCACAUGCAUGCCAGCACUUGUUUCUUGUGUUUUUGAUUUUAGCCAUUCUGACAGAUGUGACAUGAUAGUUCAUUGUGGUUUCAAUUUGCAUUUCCCUGAUGAUGAGUGAUGUUGAGUGUCUGUUAGCCAUCUGUAUGUCUUUGGAGAAAUGUAUGUUCAUGUCUUCUGCCUAUUUUUUACAUUGGAUUAUUAUUAUUAUUAUUUUUAGUGUUGAGUUGUAGAAGUUCUUUAUAUGUUUUGGAUACUAACCCUUUAUCAAAUAUGUCAUUUGCAUGCAUCUUCUCCCAUUGUAGGCUUUUAGUUUUGUUGGUUGUUUCUUUUGGUGUGCAGAAGCUUUUUAUUUUGAUGUAGAUCCAACAGUUUAUUUGUCAACUAGUUUUAAAGGACUUACAUUUCAGUUUGGGAGAUAAUGCAAAUCUAAGAAAUAUGUUUUCAAGGUAGAAGAAAACAAGUAUUUCAGAAGUGCAAAGGAAAAACUCAUUUUAGUAAACAGAUCACAAAAAAACUUUGUGGAGAAAAUGACCUUCAAGCCUAUAUGGGAAGGCAUUCCAUGCAAAGGGAAUACCAGGAACAAAGCAAGGAGGCUGAAAAGAGCAGCCUGUGUUGGGGAAGGGGAAGUUUAAUCUGUUAUUAAGGGGCCUCAGGAGAGAUCAGGCUGGUGUCAGGUUGGUUAAGGGUUGACAGAGAAUAGCAACAUGCCCCAGGCAAGAAGAUAAGACUAUCCUGUAUGCAUGGAAUCCUUUGAAGAGUUUUGACAAGAGACUGACAGAAUCAAAGGAUUUUAUUUCUUUGUCAGAGAGAGAGAGACACACACAGUGAGAGCGCCUGGGCAUAAGCACGGGAAGCAGCAGGCAGAGCAGGCAAAGGAGAAACAGGCUCCCUGCUGAGCAAGGAGCACCAUGCGGGACUCGAUCCCAGAAUCCUGGGAUCAUGACGUAAGCCAAAGGCAGACAUCCAACCACUGAGCCACCCAGGCAUCCCCCAAGAUUGUCUUCUUAAAUAUUGAUCUCACUGUGUAUCUCUUGCAUACUUUCCUAUAGUGAAGAAAUAAGACACCAGUAAGCAAAAUACAGUUGCUACAGUUUUGCCUCAGUUUAUAAAAACUCAUAAUACCAAAAUGGAGAAAGGGUUUAAAUGCUAGUUGGCCUUGGCCUUCUACUUGGACUCCUCAGAAACCUCACAGAAAAAAGGAGCCAAAGCACUGUCUUGGAGGUUUACCAAAUUAUGCUACCAAAAAACCUAUUGGGGAUGUCCCCUGAAUGUGAACUAGAACUUUUCAAAGUAUUUGCCUUGGGUGAAAGAUUUCUUGGGCUAGCAUCUGUUUAAAGAUGUUUAAUGGAUUCAGAGCACUGGAGGAGUGGUUUUUCCUAUGCUCUUGGUCAAGUCUGCGACCCCCACCCACUUUGCCUUCCUAAGAAAAAAAGCGGUAAGGAAAAAGAGCUAGUGACUGUGCCUUGAGGAGGAACCACUGGAUUGCUUGCUUCCCCUUGGUACUAUCUUCCCAAUCAUUGAAGAUUAUAAAAAGAUGAGCGGGAGUGGCAAGCAGGGGGAGUGGCAGGCAAAGGGAGAGGGAGAAGCAGACUCCCCACUGAGUAAAGAGCCUACAAAGAGCCUGAUGGAGGACUCGAUCCCAGGACCCCAGGAUCAUGACCUGAGCGGAAUGCAGACGCUUAACCAACUGAGCCAUCCAGGCAUCCCUGCUUGGUUGUUUUUUAAUCUUAAGACGGUCUAAAGCAAAAAUGGUCAUCUUUCUACUACUAGAAUUUGGGAGAUGAAACAUCAUAGCACCAUUAUUCAUUAAGCUUCAAAUACCACUGUACAUCAGCACACCCCAGUUUGAGAUACACAUGGACAGACCCGGGAGGAGAGUUGCGGAAUUCCAGGCUCAGGGUAACUGAUGAGCGACGCCCUGACAGGUGAAAGGCAGUCUAUGAAGUGCAAAGUGGGGCUCCAUGAAGAGUAGUCGUGUGGACUUUGAUGCCACCAUGAGGAGUUGGAGAUAUACAGUGAACAAGAGCACUGCUGCAGAUUUAGAAGGAAGGAAACCAGGAUUCUGGGUCUCUCUCUGUUACCCCCUUUGCCUUGGGCAAAGCACUUCUGAAAUCUGGACUUGGGUUUCCUUAUCCAGAGAAAGGCAAUACCAGAAUAAGCGAUCAUAAGUUUCCUUUUGGCUGUAGUGUUUUGUGAUGCAUAUUGAACUAAUGAAGGCAUUAGCUUGUUAAUGGUUCCCAUCUUUCAUAAUUUACAAAUUUAAUCUGAAAGGUGCUCUUAACAUGUUAUUAUUAGCCACCUGCUGCUGAUAAUACACAGUAUCAGUUUCAAGGCAAUGAGUAUAUUUAUGCUUGUAAAAAUAUCAUGGGGGCGGGGGUGGGGGUUGGAUGGAAACAAAUAACACUGUGAGAUCUAGGCCUGCCAUCUUAUGGAUCCUGAAUGGAACUACCGAAAUACAGGGUCUGUUGGGAGAUGAUUUUUGCACACAUCAAGUGAAUACUUGCUUACGUGUGUGUAGCUCAUUUCCAAAGGAGUUUGUACAGUAUCUUGAAAUCAAUUUUCUUUGAUAAAUCUUAGUUUUAACCCUCUAGUAAAGAAUUGAAGUAAAUCUAAGAAAGCCCCUUCCUCCAGUUUUAGUUCUUUAUCGAUCCCAAUAAUUAUUUUCCAGGCAAACUUUCAAUUUCUAAAUGGCUAUCUUUUGCUUUUGAAAUUGCUUGGGACAAAAGAAUGUUCUUUGAAAUGAUGGUGCAGAAGUGCUGGUGUACAUAUUUUGUGAAAGCUGUGAUCAGCCAUGAUUGUGAAAUGUAACUGUCUUCUUUUUUUCUUUCCUAUGUAUGAGAAAUGAGAAUAGAUGAUUUUCCACUGCAACUAGGAUGAGCAUUUGUGGAACUUAUCCUUCCAUCGCUUGCGACACACCAUAGCAUUUAUCUUCUGGCAUGUAAAAAAAUUCACAACAUGGAACUUUUGUUCACAGUGAACAUGGGGGAGUUAGACAGUAGCAAACAUUUUUCAACUCUUUCAAAACUGUGACUCUAAAAUAUUGCAAAGAAAAGACCAAGGGCAGAAAGACUGCAUCCCAAGUAGAUGAUGGAAUUUGUCUCUGGUUACACUUUGCUUUGUCCAAAACAGAUCCAAAGAAAAUCGUUCAGCCGCCCUUCCCAAUAAUAUAAUUUGAGACACUGAAAUAUCCUGAAGGUCGCUUCUAACGGGCAUUCUAAAAUUUUCUCUGGGGCAAAAACAGUAAUGCUCCUCUUUAAGGUUGCUGACUUCACGAAGCUUUUUAAACUGUGUUCUACUUCCCACCAGUUUUCAAUUUAUUUUCAGUAUGCUUCAGUAUUUGUGGUGGUUUUAGUCCCUUUCAAGUUGAAACGCGAUUAUGAUAGUACAGUAGAAGGCAGCUCUUGGACGUGGCUGACAGUGCAAGUAUUACUUGAUACAACUUAUUUCCACCAGUAUGGAUCCUUCUUUCUGAAUCUGACAUCAGCAGCUGGUAUCAGUCAUGGAGAACUGUAGCGGAGCAUCCAUUUCAGCUUCUCAGGGCUCCCAUUUUGUUAACUACAGACAUUGGCUGAGAUUACAUUCUUCCUACUGCCUCCUGAAAGGUGAAUGCUUUUCUAAUCAUCUCGUGAUUUAAUUAAUCAGAUCCCCUUUCUUUAGAUUCUUUUCUCUUCUUGGUUUGGCCCUGUUGACUUUCAGGAAAUAAUGCAGUGUUAUGUCCACAUUCAGCGCAAUCAAAGUCUGUGACAUCCACGUUUUCUCAUUUAUUUUGGUUAUGUAUUUUAAGAUUUUUACAAAUAUUUAGAAUAUUUUAAAACCCUACUCCAAGUUAAAAGUAUCUUUUAUAGUUUGGCUCUAAGAGUUUACUUAAAACAUAUUUGAGGAAGCGUUUGGUUUUACUUCCAGUUGCUCAAUUGAUGUUUCAAAAUUUCUUAAUCUACAUUUGUUUUUACUGUUAAAAUAUGCUGUCAUAGGGGUGCCUGGGUGGCUCAGUGGGUUGAGCCUCUGCCUUCGGCUCAGGUCAUGAUCCCAGGGUCCUGGGAUGGAGCCCCCGCAUCAGGCGCUCUGCUCAGCGGGGAGCCUGCUUCCCUUCCCCUCUCUCUGCCUGCCUCUCUGCCUACUUGUGAUCUCUGUCUGUCAAAUAAAUAAAUAAAAUUUUAAAAAAAUAUGCUGUCAUAUAAUAAAAUCAAAUGACUAUACUAAGUGCCAACAAUAUGUCUUAUAGAAAUAAAAUUAUUCACAAAAAUAAAUUACUGUAGGAAGGAUAUCUCACAAGUAAGUUUUGUGAGAUUCACGUUUCACUAAAGAAUGUAAAACUUGAGGGGCAGCUGGGUGGCUCAGUUGGUUGAGUGUCUGCCUUCGGUUCAGGUUGUGAUUCCCAGGUCCUGGGAUCAAGCCCCACAUCGGGGUCCCUGCUUAGUCGGAAGCCUGCUUCUUCCCCUCCCCCUGCUUGUGUUCCCUCUCUCUCUGUUCCUAUCUCUGUCAAAUAAAUAAAAUCUUUAAAAAAAAAAAAAAAAGUAAAACUUGAAACAGUUCUAAUGCUGAAACCCAGUUUUGGUAAGGAAUGCACAUGUGUAAUUUACAUGUUGAAACAGGUGUAUGGCUAUCUGUUAAAUUUUAAAAUUUAGUUUACUUUCUCUCCUGCCACAGGAAUAUUCCGGUGUCCAUAAAUCUAAAGAUAAAAUUAUUGCUAAGCCUUCCACUUAAAUAUACAAUUAAGAUUUUUUAUUUGGGAGGCACCUGGGCAGUUGUUAAGGGUCUGCCUUAGGCUUGGGUCAUGAUCUCAGGGUUCUGGGAUCGAGCCCUGCCACAAGCUCCUUGCUCGGUGGGAAGCCUGCUUCUUGGUCUUCCACUCCCCCUGCUUGUGUUCCCUCUCGCUGUGUCUCUCUCUCUGUCAAAUAGAUAAAAUCUUAAAAAAAAAAAAAAAGAUUUUUAUUUGGGCAAUUAUUUUUGGAAGAACAAGAUACCAGUGUAAAAUUUAAAUUGAGCUACCUGGUUCUAUAGAGUCCGGGUCGUAAGAUAUAUUUGAAAAGCUUAAGUAGUAUUGCUUUAUAAUGGGGUAAGUUGGCUAAAACGGAAGUAAACUAGAUCAUUGUUUAUGAAAGCUCAAGCCUAAGUUGGGGUCAUUGCUGGAGACUUUAUAGAACAUAUUUUUUCACUGGAGGGGGGUUGGGCCAAAUUUUUUCAGUGAUUCCUUCUAACUCUGAAAGUAUAAGAUUUUAGUAAACUUCAGACUAAUACUCUAUGGAAUUUACCAUAACAAUAUCAGAAUGGGAGGUAUUUUGGGGGUGUUUAAUCAUUAUUCUGGAACUAUAUCCUGAGUUGGAGCAAUGGAGGAAAAAUCCCUUUUUAUUAUCGUUAAAGGCAUGUUGACAGUAGAGGGGAAGAAAUGAGCCCCUGUAGCUCUGGUAGUGCUUUAAUAAAGCAGUUAUGGAUAAAAAAACAGUUAUCCAUUUCCAGUUUCUCUUCUGUGUCUGCUGAUCUUCAAGUCCUUUUUGAAUAGAAUGUGAGGACCACUUCUGUCAUUAUUGGGUCAUGGAGUUUGACCUUCCCCCCCAAAAAUGACUGUCCUGUGAUAAGUGGCCACCACAUGUGGCCUUGUAGGAUCUGGAUCAGGAUCAAUGGUGAAGCUUUUUCCAUAUUAAUUCCAGAAGAAAAACCUUGUGAUCAGAACCCUUCGGGUGGGAGCCAGCUGCACAGCUUCCCACUGUCCCCCAACAUCCAUCUGGCUGAAGAGGACAUGAUCGCUUCCCUGGCUGCCAGUGCCUGCCAAAGGUCCAUGAAGCAAGUUAGAUGCACAGGAAGGGGUCUUGUUGACCCUAGAUAGGUUGUGAUCUGGUGGAUUGUUCCUGAUCAGCGGAAGGUGACCCUCAGCAAAGCUAUGACGUAAGAAAGGCUAUUUUUUUUUAUACCGUUCACCCUGGUUCCCACAUUUUUUCGUCACCGAGGGACAGAUUCUAUCUCUAGACUUUCAGAGUCUUGAUUUAGUAUUCUUCACAACACACCCUCUCCUCCAGCUUGCUCUCUGGAAAAGAUGUGUUAUUAAUAUGCUAAUGCAAAUUUAGGUUAAUGUCUGAUCUCUCCCAGGGAUAUAUGCAUUUCAGAGCUUUCUUCUGGUGCAAUGACAACAUCAGCGGUCAGCAGAAGUAUUUGGGAGCCCUUGUGGAAAGUUUGUCACAUUAAACUAUCUCCCGGCCUGCCUUCUCUUAAGGUCUUCACCAUCUGUAGUCUCCUCUCCAGCAUGCCCCUCAUAUGUCUUUCUCUCAUUCAUUCAUUCAGUAUAUUUGCUACAUUUACUUAGUAUAGCAAAUAUCUCUGGAGCACCAGUGUGUGUCCUGUACUAGGCCAGGCCCAGGGUGUACCACAGUGAGCUAAAGAAGGCACGGUCCCUAUGGUAAGGGACUUCGAGUCUACUGAGAGGGUGGGACAAUCAAAUAAUUGCAUAAAUAAAUGUCAAGUUAUAACUGUGGUAAAUGCUACGAAGGAGACGGGGGAACAGAGUGCUGUGUGUAUAUAAUAGGGGAUUCGACCGAGCCAGGAGAUCCCGAACACCCUCCCUGAGAGAGUUUGGCUGAGGGGGAGUUAAUGAGACAAAAAAAAUGGCAGGAUAUCUUGGUUGCCCAGGAUAGCCAUAAUAACAUACCAAACUUUGGGUUGCUGAAAACUUCACAAAUGUAUGGUCUCACAGUUCUGGGCCUAGAAGUCCAAAACCAAGAUGUCAGGAAGGCCAUGCUCUCUGAUGGUUCCAGGAGAGAAUCCUUCCUUGCCUCUUCUUCCUUCUGGUAUUUGCUGGCCAUUGUCAGUGUCCCUUGGCCUGUAGACGUGCCACUCAAGGUUGUCUUCUCCCUUUGUGCCUUCACAUCAUCUUCCCUCUUCGUGUGUCUAUCUCUGUGCCAAACUGCUGCUUUUGAAAAAGAACAUGAGUCUUGUGGGAUCAGGACCCACUCUAAUGACCUCAUUUCAAUUUGAUUACUUCUGCCGAGACCCUGUCUUCAAUGAGGUCACAUCCUGGGGUACUGGGGGUCGAACUUUAGCCUCUCUGGGGGCCCCAGUUCAACCCAUAACCAGGUAAAGAGUAGAAGAUUGGAGUAUUCUAGGCGAGGUCCUUUGGUGGGAGGGAGCAUGGCCUGUGUGGUGUGGAGAAUGAGUGGGAAGUGUGGUAUGAGAAGAAGCUGGAAAGGACGUGAGAUGAGUUGUUAGGCCGACGUUAGGGAUCUUGGUCAUAAUGUAAAAGCAUCAGUCUAUAACGUUACUGGGGGAUUUCAGCAGGAAUAGGCCUGAUCAGAUUUGCAGUUUGCAAAAAUUCACUCUGGCUACAAUGCGCAGAAUGGGUUAGUGAAGCAGGAACAGAUGCAGAUGUAGCAGUGAAGAAGCUAUGCAGUAGGGCGGCGAGAGGAAGAGGUGUGGAGGGCAGUGGUCAUAGAAAGUCAAAUCAUCACGCCUUGGUGCUAGGUCAGACGUGGCAUGGAAGGGGAAAUGGUCAGGGAUGAUUCAUUCCUAGAUUUCCAACUCCUUUGCUGGAUGCAUGUUGGGGGACACUGAAGAAGAGCCUGGUUAGGGGGCAAAAUUGCAAGAUGUUUGUGGACAUGUUGGGCUUAGAGUAUACCGAGUACAGCUGUCAAAUAGGCAUCUGUACGUCUGCAGCUUAGAGGAAAGGUCCUAGCUGAAGAUGAAAGUCCAAGUCAUUGGCAUGUAGGUGAUAUUGAAGGUUUUUUUUUUCUUUUUCUUUUUUAAUGGGAGAGCCUUCAGCUGCUGAGAGUGGCAGCUAAGGGGGAAAGUUCGAACAUUUGAGCCAGAGAAAGGUCAUCGGAUGCUUACAGCAGGAGAAGACAGAAAAGGUGGCCCUAGGUGGAAGAGGAGACGUUUCCUUCCUUAGUCAGACUCUCUAGGAUUUUCCCCUCCCUGGCUUUCCUGUGUGACAAAGCAAAGUGGACUUUCCCUCCUGUCACAGAUAGUCCUCAGCCCCAGGCUGAUGCUACAGGCUGGGACAGGUGUUUUCUACUCAUGUGUUUGAUAGUGUCUAAUCUGACAGCGGCUAUAAAUACAAGAGGAACUGAAGGCCACGUCUUGAGUAAUUCAGUUUUCAUCUACCAGUAAAUCACAAGAUAUGUCAUGGUAUCAAAAUAGAUGAUCAUUUCCACUUUUAAAACUAGAACUUUGGAUUUUUGGUCACUUCAAAGCACACCUUUUCUAUUUUUCUUCUCGGGUUGUAAAAGAAAGUUAUAUAAUUUUUUUUUUAAUGCCAUGGUAUAGCCAAGUCCAACCCAGAACAAAGUCCAUCUAGUCCUCUUUCUCCAUCUGGGUGAUGUUUCAUUUUGUUCUAUUCAUCCUUCCUAGCUCCUUUUGUUUUGUUUUGUUUAAAUUCGGGACUCUCUUGGUUCUUAAUAUAAAACUUUCUGGGCUGCCUCUAUGUUUUCUUGUUCUUAUGUAUCCCAUUCUGCAUUUCCUGUAUGAAACGCCAUGUCCCAGGUAUGCAUUCGUGGGCUGGCCUUCAGCUGCACCUGCCUGGGCGUGUUGAAAUUACUGAUAAGAAAGACCGAGCCAUUUGGCAACUCUGGAACACUAGUUCAUACUCGUGUUAAGUGGCUUAGGAUUUCCAUGAAAAUCUUCCUUUUUUGUAUUUUUACUUUUAUCUCAAAAAAAUGGCAUAAACAUUUCCUGAAGAUAUUCUUGUUGUAAAGGAUUUUUAAAAAUACAGAAGUAUUUAAAGCAAGCUGUAAAAAAAUUGUCUGCUAUCCCUUUUCCCAACAUUCUCCCUAUUAAUUCCAUUUGCUACUUCCAAAGUGGGAUUUGCAUCUCUAAUACGAUUUUUUGCCAUCUUUCUCCUGCCCCUCUUCCCUCCCUCUUAUUCUUUUUAAUCACUGCAGAGGACACCAUAAUAUAGGUAUAUCAUUAUGUAAUCAAUUUUGUACUUUUUUUUUUUCUGUAAUUGAUAAUGUUGCAGCAGACAGUGUUACCCAUAGAUUUUUCUCCAUAUGUGAAUGUACUUCUUUAGGUUAGAUUCAAAGGAGCAGUAUCCUGGGCAAAUGCAUUUAAAUUUUUGGAAAAUGUCUUCCGGCACCCUUUCUCCCCACCCCCACCCACUUCUAACCAUGUUGCUCUAGAACUCCCUGUUCUGGUUUGACUAGUCUUCCUAGCUUUAGGAAUGAGGUGCCCAGGGUGCUGGGGGUUGGGUGGGCAUUUUGGCAACCACUGCUGGCGUAUUCCCGUUCCCUCCGAGAACCAAGAAACCUCGCAAAUGUGGCAAAAGCAAAGGAUCUCAGAAAAAGCACCAACACCUGUGUUCUAGAGAGCAGAAAUCUAAAAUUCUGGGCUUUGAAGGAGGACACAACACCUGCUAUACCCGCUCAGUUUCUUUAAAUGGAAAUUAACUUAUAAGGCUUUACCCAAGUGAUAUAAAUUUUAUAUAUUCUAGAGUUGGCCUUGAUUUUUCUAAACCUGACACCAAAACUAGAAAUAGCAAAACAUAAUUAAUUGAUUUGACUAAAAGGAAAUUUAUAAAAACUUUCUAAAAACUUUCCAAAGGCAAGAGAAACCAAUAUAAACAAAAAUUUAAGAUUAAAAAAAAAAAACCUGAGACAAUAUAUUUAAUAUGUUUAUGUACAUAUAAAGAAUUCUUACAAUCAGAAAAAGACAAACACUCCAAUAGGAACCUGGGCAAAAGGUCAUGGUUAAGCAAUUCACCAAAGAGGAAAAUAUGAAGAGCUAUAAGUAUUUAAAUAAUAAAUUGGUAUAAUAUUUCUAGAGCUCAUCAGCUUUAGGUAAUAAAUAAAUCAUGUAUAUUAAAAAAGUUUUUACUCCCUUAUGAUGUAGGAAAACGUUGGAGUUUCAAGCUGAUGGCCAAGAAAGAAUUCUUGAGGUGUUUUUGGUGCAAACAUGUGGUUUUAUUAAACCCCGGGGACAGAACCAAUGGGCAGAAAGAGCUGCACUGUGGUCAUGAGGAG